RNAcentral lists this long non-coding RNA (734 nucleotides) under Medicago truncatula (barrel medic). RNAcentral's name for it is "lncRNA gene19767". The record is from RNAcentral. Lineage: Eukaryota; Viridiplantae; Streptophyta; Magnoliopsida; Fabales; Fabaceae.
AUCGUCGUACGCGUAGCUAUACGCGCGUGGGCAAGCACUUUUAAAUAACUCAGAAUAACUCGAAGGUUUGCAAGUGUUGGGUGAACCAUACGCGCCGCUGCAACAAUACUGCGCCGUUCCAAACGCUUCACAAGCACUUUUACACGCCACACUCUCUUUCCCAUCCACGGUCGUAACCUUAAGCUCUGAAGGACACGCACCGAGCAAAUCCCUAAUACAACCGGUAUUCGUACAGUUAUCACCGGAGCCACCUUGUGGAACCACAAGCAUUGGAACGUUGUAACCGUCAACUAAACUCACGUCGAAGAAAUCGAGUCCACCGGAUCCAUCGAGAGUGAAUUCCGCUAAGGUAGCUGGUGGUGUUGCGCCGUUGCCAGAGCAUUCGACUUUGCCGGAGUUACAAUCGCCGGUGAGACAGGAGAAUUUUCCGGUGGAGUCUUGGGAACAGACAGUACGGCCCCAGAAACGGCCUCCCCAGGAAGCGGGUGGGGUGAUUGAUUUGGAGUCGCCGGAUUGAAGAACGAAACCGGUGGUUGGAAGCGGUGCAACGCCGGCGUUGGAGAGAAUUCCCGGCCAUACCGUGUAGUUGCAUUUGUUAACGAGUGUGAAUGUUGUUGAUAAUACCCCUGAUAUUGAAAGAUUAAGUAUGAUAAGGAAAAUUGAAAAUAAUUUAGUACUUAGUUGAUCCAUGUAAUGAUAUAAGAACUUAACUUAAUAUGUAGAAGAAGAAGAAG